UGUAGUGUAGUUCAGUUGGUAGAGUGCUUGCCUGACAUUCAUGAAGCUCUGGGUUGCAUCCCCAGCACAGCGG
This 73-nucleotide transfer RNA is filed under the name Cricetulus griseus (Chinese hamster). It matches the Rfam family "tRNA". Rfam says of the family: Transfer RNA (tRNA) molecules are approximately 80 nucleotides in length. Their secondary structure includes four short double-helical elements and three loops (D, anti-codon, and T loops). Further hydrogen bonds mediate the characteristic L-shaped molecular structure. tRNAs have two regions of fundamental functional importance: the anti-codon, which is responsible for specific mRNA codon recognition, and the 3' end, to which the tRNAs corresponding amino acid is attached (by aminoacyl-tRNA synthetases). tRNAs cope with the degeneracy of the genetic code in two manners: having more than one tRNA (with a specific anti-codon) for a particular amino acid; and 'wobble' base-pairing, i.e. permitting non-standard base-pairing at the 3rd anti-codon position. Lineage: Eukaryota; Metazoa; Chordata; Mammalia; Rodentia; Cricetidae. The record is from Rfam by way of RNAcentral.